AUUGAACGCUGGCGGCAGGCCUAACACAUGCAAGUCGAACGGUAACAGGAAACAGCUUGCUGUUUCGCUGACGAGUGGCGGACGGGUGAGUAAUGUCUGGGAAACUGCCUGAUGGAGGGGGAUAACUACUGGAAACGGUAGCUAAUACCGCAUAACGUCGCAAGACCAAAGAGGGGGACCUUCGGGCCUCUUGCCAUCGGAUGUGCCCAGAUGGGAUUAGCUAGUAGGUGGGGUAACGGCCCACCUAGGCGACGAUCCCUAGCUGGUCUGAGAGGAUUGCCAGUCACACUGGAACUGAGUCACGUCCCAGAUUCCGACGGGAGGCAACAGUGGGGAAUAGUGCACAAUGGGCGCAAGCCUGAUGCAGCCAGGCCGCGUGUAUGAAGAAGGCCUUCGGGUUGUAAAGUACUUUCAGCGGGGAGGAAGGGAGUAAAGUUAAUACCUUUGCUCAUUGACGUUACCCGCAGAAGAAGCACCGGCUAACUCCGUGCCAGCCGCCGCCGUAA
This 506-nucleotide ribosomal RNA is filed under the name uncultured bacterium. RNAcentral describes it as "partial 16S ribosomal RNA". It matches the Rfam family "Bacterial small subunit ribosomal RNA", at positions 30 to 523 of the family's 1533-position model. The record is from RNAcentral.